GAUGAACGCUGGCGGCGUGCCUAAUACAUGCAAGUCGAGCGAACAGACGAUGAGCUUGCUCCUCUGACGUUAGCCGCGGACGGGUGAGUAACACGUGGAUAACCUACCUAUCAGACUGGUAUAUCUUCGGGAAUCCGGCUCUAAUACCUGAUAAUCUCUUGAUCCGCAUUGUUCAAUAGUUAAAUACGGUUUUUCUGUCUCUUAUAGCUGCAUCCCCGCCGCAUUAGAUAGUUGUUAAGGUAACGGCUUACCAAGGCAACGAUGCGUAGCCGACCUGAGAGGGUGAUCGGACACACUGGAAAGGAGACACGGUCCAGACUACUACGGGAGGCAGCAGUAGGGAAUCUUCCGAAAUGGGCGAAAGAUUGACGGAGAAACGCCGCGUGAGGGAUGAAGGUCUUAGGAUCGUAAAAAUCUGUUAUUAGGGAAGAACAAAUGUGAAAGUAACUAUGCACGUCUUGACGGUACCUAAUCAGAAAGCCACGGCUAACUAAGUG
RNAcentral lists this ribosomal RNA (497 nucleotides) under uncultured bacterium. RNAcentral's name for it is "partial 16S ribosomal RNA". It matches the Rfam family "Bacterial small subunit ribosomal RNA", at positions 28 to 507 of the family's 1533-position model. The record is from RNAcentral.